RNAcentral lists this ribosomal RNA (535 nucleotides) under Campsicnemus modicus. RNAcentral describes it as "partial 16S ribosomal RNA". It matches the Rfam family "Bacterial large subunit ribosomal RNA", at positions 1804 to 2607 of the family's 2925-position model. The record is from RNAcentral. Lineage: Eukaryota; Metazoa; Arthropoda; Insecta; Diptera; Dolichopodidae.
UUAACAAAAACAUGUCUUUUUGAGUUUAAAUAUAAAGUCUAAUCUGCCCACUGAUAAAUUAUUUAAUGGCCGCAGUAUUUUAACUGUGCAAAGGUAGCAUAAUAAUUAGCUUUUUAAUUGAAGGCUUGUAUGAAUGAUUGGACGAGAUAUAAACUGUCUCAUAAAAAUUUUUUUUGAAUUUAAUUUUUUAGUUAAAAAGCUAAAAUAAAUUUAAAAGACGAGAAGACCCCAUAGAUCUUUAUAUUUUUUUUAUUAUUAUUUUUUAGUUUUUUUAUAAAUUAAUAAAUAAAAGUAUUUUGUUGGGGUGACAUUGAAAUUUAAUAAACUUUCAAAAUUUAAUAACAUUAAUCUAUGAAUUUAUGAUCCUUUAUUAUUGAUUAAAAAUUUAAGUUACCUUGGGGAUAACAGCGUAAUUAUUUUGGAGAGUUCUUAUUGAUAAAAUAGAUUGCGACCUCGAUGUUGGAUUAAGAUUAAUUUUGGGUGUAGUAGUUCAAAUUAUUAAGUCUGUUCGACUUUUAAUUUCUUACGUGAUCUG